CUUGACCCACUUGAUCUUAUUUAUCAUGUCCUGUUACGUUGUAUUUAAACACACUCUACAACCUUGGUCUGUCGUAUACCAUCAGGGCACGAAGCAGGACUGCCUCACUCACCCAUCGUAUACCGCCAGGGUAUGAGGUAAUACUGCUUCACUCACUCAUCGUAUACCGUCAGGGCAUGAGGUAAUACUGCCUCACUGACUCAUCGUAUACCGUCAGGGCAUGAGGUAAUACUGCCUCACUGUCUCAUCGUAUACCGUCAGGGCAUGAGGUAGUACUGCCUCACUCACUCAUCGUAUACCGCCAGGGCAUGAGGUAAUACUGCCUCAAUCACUCAUCGUAUACAGCCAGGGCAUGAGCUAAUACUGCCUCACUCACUCAUCGUAUACAGCCAGGGCGUGAAGCAAGACUGCCUCACUCAGUCAUCGUAUACAGCCAGGGCAUGAGCCUCCCCACUAAGGCAGGGCGACCGCGAGUACUGGACUGAGUGGUACGACGUGGACGACCCAGUGAGCGGCGACGGCGACUACGAAACGGUUCAGUCCAUCACCAGGGCUCUGAGACGGAAUAUCUGCCCAUCAACUCACAGAAUCACCAGAGCUGACUGCGAUGUCGACAACGGUGACGUCGACGACAUCGUGAGGGAAGACAGUCUGGCUCCACUGCGGGUCUAGCCUGCAGGAAUAGUGACCAGACUUCUGGAAUAUGCAAUAACUACAGAAUAAGAUUCUUCUGUCAGCCACUAAACAGGGUCCACACGAAAGGAGACACGACACAAGACGAGGACGAGGAAGGGAAUGGUACAAGACGUGUCCCCCGAUUUGACAUGCGCAUUUACAUCGUCCUCGCGGCUGUUCCGGUCGUCAUCUUCCUGUUCCGUAUUUGCUGGUCGUGCACCUUCGAGAAGCGUCGUCGCCGGAACAGACGCUCUACGCGUGCGCGACGUCCAGCUCAAGACGAAGAGGCGGUUCACCCGGAAGUGUUUCUUCCUCCGCCGAGCUAUCAGGAACUGUUUGGCUUGAAUGGAGGGCCUUUUUUGUUAUCUCGACAUUAUUCUUUGUGCAGAAAGUGCAAAUCUUCCCAAUGUGGCAUUUUUAGGGACAGACAUUUGACAAAUCUUGACUCUGAAACCUCUAACGAAUCUCUUUCUACUUCAUCUGAACAUGAGCCGGACGUCAUGAUAACAUCAGAAACCACGUCUUCAUCCGCGGGGUCUCCGUCAAUUCGAGAUCGAACUCGCUCAGUGAAAGCAAUUCUUCCGAAAGCAGUGCCCCCACAACGAACACAGACGCCGAGGCUCCCACCUCUCAAACAGUCCAGCCUGCUCAGUGUGACUGCCCUUGCCAUAAACAAGCACCGGAAGUCAGUGUUUAUGACAAUCCCGCAUAUGAACCGGAAGUAGCUAUACAUAAUGGCCGGUCAUCACGGAUACCGGGGAUGCAUUUACCUGUAUUUUCUUUAUUCAGGUCAACAUCUGCUUCCUCCGUGGAAGAAGCCCCACCUCCAAAUUACAAGGAGGCUUUGAAAAUAUUGAACCUUAACAAAAAAAUUCUCUCGUUGAAACACUGUUGUUUUUUCGUCAGAAACACAUAUGGGCAUUUCCAGCUAUCUCGUAUAGAUAUUCAGGGCUGGUCCUUGAAAUAUGAAAACCCCAUCUGAUCACGUGACUACUCGUCAAAGUUACAUCCUUCCGUGAAAUCCUACACCAAGGGGGAGAUAACUAUUUAUGUAGAUAGAUGACAUUAAUAUUAUAAUGUUGAACUGUAUUCGUGUAUCUGUUAUAUCAUUUAUAUCAUGUUUGUGUUGAGAGUUGCUCAAGUUAGUGUACACUGUGAACUUCAACCAGACAAUCCUUCACUGACCUCCUUUUAUACAGUAUCACCUCUCAUUAUCAGUUCAUGUGUGGGGCAUAGGUAGAAAGUUUCCCAAUUAUGCAUGUAUAUCGCUCUUUACUGUUCUCAGCAGUGAAGGAAACUCUUAGUUCGUGGGUCGAUGCUGGUAUUGGGUUUGCAUGUCCCAGAUGAACAUUACCUUUGAAGGCGUUGUGCUUCCACUACGACGAUGUAGAGCUAGCGGUGAAUAUCCCAGAAUAAGGUCUGCUGAUUAAAACUCAAACCGGAAUCACACGUAUAUAUGUUUGACCCAAGGGAAUGUCCACUUUGUAGAGCCGUGAUGUUCAACUGACAUUGCUACACGAACUUAACUGUGUACUUUGAACUUUGUACUUUGAACUUUGUACCCAGACUGAAUUACAUGCGAGGCCAGUGAGACACGUGGGGAAGAUCCUGUGUGACCCGUGACAAAGCAACGUGUAUCUUGUUCUUCUGCUGCUGGGAGGUAUGUUGUUACGAGAUAUGUUGAUGUGAUGCUGUGACGUAAAAUUGAAUUUCCC
This 2390-nucleotide long non-coding RNA is filed under the name Haliotis rubra (blacklip abalone). Its description in RNAcentral is "uncharacterized LOC124288079". Lineage: Eukaryota; Metazoa; Mollusca; Gastropoda; Lepetellida; Haliotidae. The record is from RNAcentral.